UUGGCGGACGGGUGAGUAACGCGUGGGUAACCUGCCUUGUACUGGGGGACAACAGUUGGAAACGACUGCUAAUACCGCAUAAGCGCACAGCUUCGCAUGAAGCAGUGUGAAAAACUCCGGUGGUACAAGAUGGACCCGCGUCUGAUUAGCUAGUUGGUAAGGUAACGGCUUACCAAGGCGACGAUCAGUAGCCGACCUGAGAGGGUGACCGGCCACAUUGGGACUGAGACACGGCCCAA
Molecule: ribosomal RNA, 239 nt
Filed under: uncultured bacterium
Lineage: Bacteria
Description: partial 16S ribosomal RNA
Rfam family: Bacterial small subunit ribosomal RNA
Source: RNAcentral